RNAcentral lists this long non-coding RNA (402 nucleotides) under Mytilus galloprovincialis (Mediterranean mussel). Lineage: Eukaryota; Metazoa; Mollusca; Bivalvia; Mytilida; Mytilidae. The record is from RNAcentral.
GUUGUCGUUUGUUUGUGUGUUACAUAUUUGUUUUUCGUUCCUUUUUUGUACAUAAAUAAGGCCGCUGGUUUUCUCGUUUGAAUUUUUUUACAUCGUCAUUUCGGGGCCUUUUAAAGCUGAGUAUGCGGUAUGGGCUUUGCUCGUUGUUGUAGGCCGUACGGUGACCUAUAGCGUCGUUAAUUUCUGUGUCAUUUUGGUCUCUUGUGGAGAGUUGUCUCAACAUGGCAAUCAUACCACAUCUUUUUUUUUUUGUAAUCAAUGAAUUUUGUAAAAUAUUUAAUGAAUGGAGAAUUUCAGAAAAGAUAUCAAAAGGUUACAUGAAUAAUUUUAGCGCUUAUCUGUAUAUUACUAUAUAAAUAAAGUGUAUUUACUUUCAAUUCUUAGUUUAGUAAUCGAUCCAUG